CCGUGCGCAACCCCCUAUCAUUUGGUAUUAGAUUUUGGGCGUUUUGGGUGGUCUUGGUUGAUUUCUAAACUGAUCUCCUUUUAAAAACAUUAAGCAGCAGUUUUUACCCAGAAAAUUUUUUGGAAAAAUUCAUUUGAGUGGGUAAACAUUUUCCGCUUGAUUUGAAAUUUUACAUGCACAUUUUUCGCACUGUGAUAGAAUACUAAAAAAUAUUUCCCACAAAAAAAAUCAGUAGAAAAAUUCAAAAAAAUUGAAAAAGACGAAAUCAAGAAAAAAAUUAAACAAAUAUUCAGCAGGUUGAGUUCAGUGGCGAAACUUUCCAGAUCAAAUAUACACUAUUUAAGGACAUUGUAGUUUAAAUUUCGUGAUUUUUUGAGAUCGGGAACACCUCGAACGAAGUUGUCAAGUUACUCCGCAGUUUUUCAGGUUUUCAGGUUUC
This 439-nucleotide long non-coding RNA is filed under the name Gossypium raimondii (Peruvian cotton). RNAcentral describes it as "long non-coding RNA (GRAI_LNC011249)". The record is from RNAcentral. Lineage: Eukaryota; Viridiplantae; Streptophyta; Magnoliopsida; Malvales; Malvaceae.